UGGGGAAUAUUGCACAAUGGGCGAAAGCCUGAUGCAGCAACGCCGCGUGAGCGAUGAAGGCCUUUGGGUCGUAAAGCUCUGUCCUUGGGGAAGAAAAAAAUGACGGUACCCUUGGAGGAAGCCCCGGCUAACUACGUGCCAGCAGCCGCGGUAAUACGUAGGGGGCAAGCGUUAUCCGGAAUUAUUGGGCGUAAAGAGUGCGUAGGUGGUUUUGUAAGCGCGAGGUGAAAGGCAAUAGCUCAACUAUUGUAAGCCUUGCGAACUGCAAGACUUGAGUGCAGGAGAGGAAAGUGGAAUUCCUAGUGUAGCGGUGAAAUGCGUAGAUAUUAGGAGGAACACCAGUGGCGAAGGCGACUUUCUGGACUGUAACUGACACUGAGGCACGAAAGCGUGGGGAGCAAACA
This 404-nucleotide ribosomal RNA is filed under the name uncultured bacterium. Its description in RNAcentral is "bacterial SSU rRNA". It matches the Rfam family "Bacterial small subunit ribosomal RNA", at positions 355 to 774 of the family's 1533-position model. RNAcentral also lists the same sequence under 1 other name. The record is from RNAcentral.